Molecule: long non-coding RNA, 730 nt
Organism: Lycium barbarum (goji berry)
Lineage: Eukaryota; Viridiplantae; Streptophyta; Magnoliopsida; Solanales; Solanaceae
Exons: 3
Source: RefSeq, a predicted model, not a curated record
UUCUCUCCACAUUUCAGACCAAAACACACCCAUAAACAUUCAGAACAUUCUAGUGAGAGAAAGGGAGGAAAACUUUAGAGAGAAAUCAAUUUUGACCAAAAUCUAAGCCCCGAAUCGCGAAGCUCAUGAAGUGAAAAGUGUUGUACGUCGCGUUGCCUUCAAUUUGAACUAAAAAUCAGCCAAGAAGAAGAUUGUUGAAGUGGUUGCUGCAUACUUAAGAUUUUGGACGAAACGGGAAUUGAAUCUGGACGAGCGUAAGGCGCAACUAAGGGCUGCGUUGCAUGCCGCGCAGGUACUCCCAUGUGAGUUAAAGACAGUAUAGAAGAUGUUCCAGUGCAGACGGCAAGCUCCAUUUGUUCCCGGAGUGCUGACGAGUCAGGGUUUGUAUGUUAUGAUUUCUGGAUUACGUUAGAGACUUUGCAGACAGCGUCGUGGGUAUUGGUUAUCAGUCUGUAAGCGGCUCCGUCAGCCGAUAUGUCGGUCUGUGUUAUGUACUGAAUCUUUUAUGAUCAUAGAUUUGUUCAGCUUGGAAGCUACGAGAAAGAAUAGUUCUGGAAAAAAAAUUAUGGUGUAUUUUAUCUUAUUUGAUCUAAAAAGUUUGACGUGAUUUUAUGUGCAACAAAAGUCAGAGGGUUCGCUCGGCCCUAAGUAAGGGUUGGGUGCCCAUCACACCCUAGGGAUAUUGGGGUGUGACAGUUAUGGUGUCAAUUCAAAUGUUAUAAUUUUAUCA